UACGUAGGGAGCAAGCGUUAUCCGGAUUUAUUGGGUGUAAAGGGUGCGUAGACGGGAAUUUAAGUUAGUUGUGAAAUCCCUCGGCUCAACUGAGGAACUGCAACUAAAACUGAAUUUCUUGAGUGCGGGAGAGGAAAGUGGAAUUCCUAGUGUAGCGGUGAAAUGCGUAGAUAUUAGGAGGAACACCAGUGGCGAAGGCGACUUUCUGGACCGUAACUGACGUUGAGGCACGAAAGUGUGGGGAGCAAACAGG
RNAcentral lists this ribosomal RNA (253 nucleotides) under uncultured bacterium. RNAcentral's name for it is "partial 16S ribosomal RNA". It matches the Rfam family "Bacterial small subunit ribosomal RNA", at positions 524 to 776 of the family's 1533-position model. The record is from RNAcentral.